AGAGUUUGAUCAUGGCUCAGAACGAACGCUGGCGGCAGGCUUAACACAUGCAAGUCGAACGCGUGUAGCAAUACACGAGUGGCGCACGGGUGAGUAACGCGUGGAUAUCUGCCUUUUGGUUCGGAAUAACUCCGGGAAACUGGAGCUAAUACCGGAUGGUUCCUACGGGAUAAAGAUUUAUCGCCAAAAGAUGAGUCCGCGUACGAUUAGCUAGUUGGUGAGGUAAUGGCUCACCAAGGCGACGAUCGUUAGCUGGUCUGAGAGGACGAUCAGCCACACUGGGACUGAGACACGGCCCAGACUCCUACGGGAGGCAGCAGUGGGGAAUAUUGGACAAUGGGGGCAACCCUGAUCCAGCCAUGCCGCGUGAGUGAUGAAGGCCUUCGGGUUGUAAAGCUCUUUUGGCGGGGACGAUGAUGACGGUACCCGCAGAAUAAGCCCCGGCUAACUUCGUG
This 455-nucleotide ribosomal RNA is filed under the name uncultured bacterium. RNAcentral describes it as "bacterial SSU rRNA". It matches the Rfam family "Bacterial small subunit ribosomal RNA", at positions 8 to 507 of the family's 1533-position model. The record is from RNAcentral.